GAUGAACGCUGGCGGCGUGCCUAAUACAUGCAAGUCGAGCGAACAGACGAGGAGCUUGCUCCUCUGACGUUAGCGGCGGACGGGUGAGUAACACGUGGAUAACCUACCUAUAAGACUGGGAUAACUUCGGGAAACCGGAGCUAAUACCGGAUAAUAUAUUGAACCGCAUGGUUCAAUAGUGAAAGACGGUUUUGCUGUCACUUAUAGAUGGAUCCGCGCCGCAUUAGCUAGUUGGUAAGGUAACGGCUUACCAAGGCAACGAUGCGUAGCCGACCUGAGAGGGGGAGCGGCCACACUGGAACGGAGACACGGUCCAGACUCCUACGGGAGGCAGCAGUAGGGAAUCUUCCGCAAUGGGCGAAGGCCUGACGGAGCAACGCCGCGUGAGUGAUGAAGGUCUUCGGAUCGUAAAACUCUGUUAUUAGGGAAGAACAAAUGUGUAAGUAACUAUGCACGUCUUGACGGUACCUAAUCAGAAAGCCACGGCUAACUACGUG
RNAcentral lists this ribosomal RNA (497 nucleotides) under uncultured bacterium. RNAcentral's name for it is "partial 16S ribosomal RNA". It matches the Rfam family "Bacterial small subunit ribosomal RNA", at positions 28 to 507 of the family's 1533-position model. The record is from RNAcentral.